RNAcentral lists this unclassified non-coding RNA (2841 nucleotides) under Hevea brasiliensis (rubber tree). The record is from RNAcentral. Lineage: Eukaryota; Viridiplantae; Streptophyta; Magnoliopsida; Malpighiales; Euphorbiaceae.
UAGAAUGCAAGCGUUGCUUUUUAUAAUAAUUAAUAUAUAAUCGAGAAAAACACUUGGUGUGGUAACGAAGGACCUAAAAACCACAAAUAUCAUAUCUUCCUUUCUCUCUGGGUACCGAUGCCGUCUCCAUACACUCCGGCCCCCCAACAUCUUCUUCAAUCUCCUUCUCUUGGCAGCACUUUUUUAUUUAACAACAUCUGCAAAGUCAACUGCAUCAAAUUCCCAGGAAGAAAGCUUAUUUCUCUUCCAAAAUUAUCAUUAUCCACUGCAAAUCCUGCAUUCCCAGAAGGGUUAUCCCAUUUGAUUGACAAGAAAGAAAUCGGCUUAGUUGAGAAUUAUAGUGGCCUGCCCAUCAAAAAAGAAAAGCCUGAAACCAAUAGAUUGCAGGUGGAGAAUUUCGCGGAUGUAAUUAGAGCAUUACCCUGUAAAGAAAGAAAUGAUAUUCUCAACGGUUUUACAAAAGAUGACCAAAAUUGGAACAUAUCGGACUUAAAUGAUUUUCUCAUGGCUUUCCUUGUAGCUAAUGAGCCUAACCUUGCCUUAAAACUGUAUUAUGAUAUAUCCUCUCAUGGUUUGGCACCAGAUUCUUGCACAUUUUCUAUCAUAAUCAGGUGUCAUUGCAAGAUAAAUGAUGCUGAUGAAGCUAAAAGGGUUUUAGACCGCAUGCAAGAAAAUGGGUUAAACCCCAAUGUGGCUACUUUGACAACGUUGAUCAAUUCAUUUUGCAAGAGGGGUAAAUUACAGAAAGCUUUCGAAGUCCUUGAGGUCAUGGAAAGAAUUGGGUGCAGACCAACUGUGCAAAUAUACAAUUGCUUGUUGAAAGGAUUAUGUUACGUGGGGAGGGUGGAGGAAGCAUAUGAACUGCUAGAAGAUAUCAAGAAAUCUUCCUUAGAACCAGAUAUUUAUUCAUACACAGCUGUGAUGGAUGGUUUCUGCAAGGUAGGCAGAUCAGAUGAGGCAAUGGAGCUGCUUAAUGAAGCUCUGGAGAUGGGAUUGACACCAAGUGCUGUCACUUUUAACACUCUGUUUGAAGGUUAUAGUAAAGAAGGGAGGCCACUCAAAGGAAUUGGUGUGUUAAAGAAAAUGAAACAGAGAAAUUGCCUGCCCGAUUAUAUUAGCUAUAGCACGUUGCUACAUGGUUUGUUGAUAUGGAGGAAAAUCGGAGCAGCACUGCUAAUAUAUAAGGAAAUGGUGGGGAAUGGUUUUGAGGUGGAUGAGAGGUUAAUGAACGGUCUCUUGAGGGGUUUGUGUAGAAAAUUCUUGAAGGAAAAAGACCUACCAGAAGAUGCCUAUAAAGUGUUCGAGAAAAUGAAUAAAAGAGCAUAUAUUAUUGACCAUAGCACAUACAGUCUAGUGAUCCAAGCUCUUUCCAUGGGAAAGAAAGUGGAUGAUGCUCUGGCCAAUUUGCACCAAAUGAUUAGAUUUGGGCAUAUUCCAAGAGUUACAACCAUGACUAGCGUAAUUCGAGCAUUUUGCGUGGAGGGAAAGUUCGACAAGGCGUUUUUGGUAUUAGUUCUGAUGUAUGAAACUCAUAAAAUCCCUAGUAGAAUCUCCCACGACCUCAUGAUUCGUGAAUUGAAUAGACAAGGAAGGUUUUUAGAAGCUUGUAAUGUCUAUGGUGCAGCGUUGGUUCGAGGCGUAGUUCCCAUCAAGAAGCCCCGACAAUAAGGAAAUGCUUGACAACAAUUAUUUGCAUUCAUUCAAUUGCCUUAAUACUAUCGAAGUUAUCUUCAUGCAUAAAUGAAUUCUGUAAUGGCAUUAGUUGCUGUCUGCACUUCAAAAACACAACAUAAUUACAGUAGAUCCGAUAUUAAAUUUUCCAUUUCCAUAUAGAAUUCUUUUUUGCUGUGCCUGAAAUGCAAAAUAGCAUUUCUUCCCAGCAUGAGAAGAUCCAUAUGCCACUCUAUGAAAAUUUUCGGAUGAAUACAUAUGCUCAACUGAUUUUCCUAUUAAAUAUAGUUUACAACUCUACUCCAAUAAUGUAAUUGACCCAAAAAACAAACUAACUAAAUCCUACGCCCGGCUCGUAUAUUGGCCAGUUCUUGUGUCUACCAAGAUUUCAUCACCAGCAUUAAUGAAUAAUGGAACAUUAACUACGGCACCUGUGUCCAGAGUAACUGGUUUUGAUCCACCUUGAGCAGUGUCACCUUUGAGGCCAGGAUCAGCGCCAACUACAGUCAGCUUUACUGUGAUUGGAAGUUCAAAAUCAAUAACUUUCCCCCUCCAAAAUAGCAAAUUACAGUCCAUUCCCUCUUUCAGCCACUUUGUCUUAUCUCCAACAUCCGAUUCAUUGAGCCGAAAUUCUUCAUAUGUAUUCAGGUCCAUGAAGACAAAUUGAGCACCAUCUUUGUAUGUGAACUGCUUUGUCUCCUUAAAUACAUCUGCCUCCUCAAGCGCACUUCCAGCACGAAAAGUUUUCUCAACAGUGUUUCCUGUUACAUAAUUCCGGAUUUUGGUCCUGACAAAUGCUGCUCCCUUUCCAGGUUUCACAUGAAGAAAUUCUAAAACCCGCCAAGGAGCACCAUCUACUUCGAUGUUGGUACCCACUUUGAUAUCGUUGCUAGACAACGCACAAAUCCUGGGAAAAGUGGGGCGCAAAUGCGUUUUGGGGAAAAUGGACAUUGAGAGAAUGGAGAGUUUAGAUGAGAUGGACAACGAUGAGGUUGUUGCUGAUGAUAAUGAUGAAGUUGGUAAGAUGGAAUAAGCAGAAGAGAGACUGAAGGUUGAAGUUCCCGCCAUGUUUGUUCAGGAAGCAAGAAAAUCGAAGAAAUGAGCGGAGGAAUUUUAAUGCUACUCUCCUCAAAUUUGAAGUGCCGGAGAAUUCCUCUCCUUAGAUAAGAG